RNAcentral lists this ribosomal RNA (253 nucleotides) under uncultured bacterium. RNAcentral describes it as "partial 16S ribosomal RNA". It matches the Rfam family "Bacterial small subunit ribosomal RNA", at positions 524 to 776 of the family's 1533-position model. The record is from RNAcentral.
UACGAAGGGGGCGAGCGUUGUUCGGAUUUACUGGGCGUAAAGGGCGCGCAGGCGGCGCAUUUUGUCAGGCGUGAAAGCCCCGGGCUUAACCUGGGAAGUGCGCGGAAAACUGGCGAGCUUGAGUGCCGGAGAGGGUCGCGGAAUUCCCGGUGUAGAGGUGAAAUUCGUAGAUAUCGGGAGGAACACCAGUGGCGAAGGCGGCGACCUGGACGGACACUGACGCUGAGACGCGAAAGCGUGGGGGGCAAACAGG